UUGAUCAGUUGCCCACAGUGCCUCUGAGAGCACGAGCCCAGAGCUCUGUUUCUGCAGGAAUGUACCAAACGCACUACCAGUGAGCUGGUAAUCGCUUUAAGUCUGGGCAAACUGGUUCUCCUGGCACAAGAGAUGGCAGUAAUUGUUCCUCCCCAGCCUGAUGUGGGAGAAGGCUGAGUUUUGCUCUGGACUUGUCUGCACACUCCUGGCCUUCGCCCCUCACCCGGGACAGGCCUGGUCAGGUCUGCCAGGCCCCGGGAGCUUUGCUUGCUGGCCCAGGGCCUCACCCAGUGCACGCUGCUCUGCCCUGGGCCCUGCUUUCCUGAGGCCCAGCAGCCAGGGGCCUGUGGUACUACCAGCUGAAUUCCAAGUAAACUUUCCCAGAAUCACAGAAUCUCUUGGAAACGGAACCCCUUGGCAAUGCAAAGCAUUCUCAGAACCAAGGAAUUACAGAAAAAUAGAACCUCAAGUUUGGAAAAGAUUCUUCAGCAUUGAUGCAGACAGGUUUGUGUUGAGAUGACAGAACCGCGAUCAGAGCCACCAGGGUCAUCAAGACUUUGUGUAGAGGACAGUGCCCUGGAGACGCCUGAGCUACAGCAGACUUUGCGUGAAGGAGAGAUAAACUUGGUGAGAUUUGGGGGCCAUUUGCUACCCCAGUAUAACGUAGCCUGUCCUAGCUGUGGUGUUGUGAUUUAUAAUAAGAAGUAUAUGUAUUUGAUCUUCGUCCCUGUUUCUGGCACAGAGUCCCCAAAUUCCUUGGAAUUUCCUAAGUGGUUUGAGCCCUAAAGAUGUCUUUUGUUGUGUUGAUGAGGUGACUUUUGGGCCACACCUAGGAUUAGGGGCUGGUUGCCAGUGGAGCCAACCUGAAUACAGGACUGAGACUUUCAGUCCUAUCCUCCAGCCUUCUGGGUGGAGGGAAGGACUUGAGAUUGAGGUCAGUCACUAAUGGCCAAUGAUGUAAUCAAUAAGGCCUAUGUAAUGAAGCCUCCAUAACCGGGCCCCCCCCCCCCCCACGGCAAAUGGGGUUCAGAGAGCUUAUGAGUUGGUGAACACAUGGAGGUUCAGGGAGAGUGGCACUCUUGGAGAGCCUGGUGCCUCUGUACCCCUCCCCCACCCAUGCCCUAUGCAUCUUUUCCAUUUGGCUGUUCCUGAGUUAUAUCCUUUUGUAAUAAACAGGUGAUCUAGUAAGUAAAAUGUUUGAGUUCUGUGAGCCACUCUCCCGGAUUAAUUGGACACGAAGAGGGGGUCAUUGAAACCUCAAAUCUAUAGCUUGUCAGUCAGAAGCAUAGGUGACAACGUGGGGUGGCAGCUGGUGUCUGAAGGUGCGGUGGGCGCAGUCCUGUAGGGCUGAGCCCUACACGUGGAAUCCGAUCCUGUCUUCGGGUAGAUAGUAUCAGAAUUGAGCAGACUUGCAGGACACCCAACUGGUAUCCGAGCAUUGUUUGUUCGUGGUAGGGAAAAUCUACCCUACUUCGGAAGUGGUACCUAGCCUGUGUUCCAAACUUCCCGGAACAGGAAUUCACCAUGACCAUGGAUUUUGGGUUCAUUGCUGAGCAGCUGUCAGGUGGAGAAUUCCUUUUUCCCCCAAACUGAAAUCUGUUUCCUCAAAGCUCCCUGGUUGCCCACCCCAAGUAGGUGAAAUCCAUCUUGACAGUUUCUUGUAGUCCUUUGGGGCUCUCUUUUCUCCCUAUGCCAGUGACUCCCGCUCUUUAAUGUGAAUCAUUUGGAGGGCU
Molecule: long non-coding RNA, 1733 nt
Organism: Herpailurus yagouaroundi (jaguarundi)
Lineage: Eukaryota; Metazoa; Chordata; Mammalia; Carnivora; Felidae
Exons: 3
Source: RefSeq, a predicted model, not a curated record